Astatotilapia calliptera (eastern happy) is the source of this 1095-nucleotide long non-coding RNA. Lineage: Eukaryota; Metazoa; Chordata; Actinopteri; Cichliformes; Cichlidae. The record is from Ensembl.
CAGGUCAUUUCAUGAAGUAAUGAUGAUGUCAUGGCAAGUAAUUAAGAAACAUACUGCAUUACUUUUAAGAAAAGUAAUGAGUAACAUGUAAUAAGAGACAGCUUCUUCCACCAGGCCAUCAGACUGCUGAACACGUCAUAGACACCUCAGCUUCACUACUGGAACUUUAACAUUAUGCACUCCAUACUGUACAGUAAUGCCACUGUUUUGCACAUGUCUCAACUCUGUAUAUUUUUAUAUAUUUUAUUUAUUGUUUACUCUAUUUAAUUUGUAAAAUAUGUGUAAACACACACACACACACGCGUAGAAAGUUGAAAAUAGCUUUCUAGUAAAAAAUAGUAUCAGAAUUAAACUGGGGAAAACAGCCCAGUUGUUGUUGUGUUUUGUUGUGAUUCUAUCUUUGUACCUGUCAUUUAAAAUGCUAUCCUACAUCCAGCCGCUAGAGGGCGCAUUACGCGCAGUGGUAUCGAGUAGCGUUUUGGGGCACAGAGGAAGAAUAAACCUUCCUGUUGUGAAACUGACAUCAGCUCAACGUGUGUCCCUUUUUCUAUUCUUUAUCACAGCGCCACACGUUGUUGAACAGGAAACCAGUUGCCCCUCUGGUCAUCAUCUUAGGGAGGCAACAAAUGCAUAUACUAUUAUAUAUUGUACAUAUAUUUAUUAGUUUCAGAUUUAGCCAUUCUUGUAUUUUGCUUGUUUACAUUAUUGUAUUUUGCACAACUCUGUUGCUUGUGAAGCUCGCACACAAGAAUUUCACUCACAUGUGCUGUACCAAUGUACCUGCACAUGUGAUGUGACAAUAAAAGUGAUUUGAUUUGAUUUGAUUUAAAUGACUUUUCCUGAGUAACCCUCACAGUGCAUUGUUGCUACCUACUUGGAGAACUGCCAUCUUAUAAAACAGACAAAGACAUUUCAAUUAAAUUCAAUUUUAUUUAUAUAGCACCAAAUCACAACAAAAGUCGCCUCAAGGCGCUUUAUAUUGUACAGUAGAUACGGAGAAAAACCCAACAAUCAUAUGACCCCCUAUGAGCAAGCACUCUGGCGACAGUGGGAAGGAAAAACUUCCUCCGGCAAGAAACCUCCAGCAGAACCGGG